RNAcentral lists this ribosomal RNA (844 nucleotides) under Ophiocordyceps sp. Its description in RNAcentral is "partial large subunit ribosomal RNA". It matches the Rfam family "Eukaryotic large subunit ribosomal RNA", at positions 77 to 935 of the family's 3401-position model. Lineage: Eukaryota; Fungi; Ascomycota; Sordariomycetes; Hypocreales; Ophiocordycipitaceae. The record is from RNAcentral.
GCCCUAGUAACGGCGAGUGAAGCGGCAACAGCUCAAAUUUGAAAUCUGGCCUCUUACAGGGCCCGAGUUGUAAUUUGCAGAGGAUGCUUUUGGCGUGGUGCCUUCCGAGUUCCCUGGAACGGGACGCCAUAGAGGGUGAGAGCCCCGUCUAGUUGGACACCGAAGCCUCUAUAAAGCUCCUUCGACGAGUCGAGUAGUUUGGGAAUGCUGCUCAAAGUGGGAGGUAUAUGUCUUCUAAAGCUAAAUACCGGCCAGAGACCGAUAGCGCACAAGUAGAGUGAUCGAAAGAUGAAAAGCACUUUGAAAAGAGGGUUAAAUAGUACGUGAAAUUGCUGAAAGGGAAGCGCUUAUAACCAGACGUGGAAAUGUCCAAUCACCUAGCACCUGUGGGCUGGGGUACUUGGGCUUCUCCAGGCCAGCAUCGGUUCGCUGUGGGAAAUAAAGACGCCUGGAACGUAGCCCCUCUCGGGGGGUGUUAUAGCCUGGCGUGCAAUGUCCUGCAGCGGACCGAGGUCAGCGCGUAAUUGCAAUGAUGCUGGCAUAAUGGUUAUUAGUGACCCGUCUUGAAACACGGACCAAGGAGUCGUCUUCGUAUGCGAGUGUUUGGGUGUCGAAACCCGUGCGCACAAUGAAAGUGAACGUAGGUGAGAGCUCUCUGGAGCGCAUCACCGACCGAUCCUGAUGUUCUACGGAUGGAUUUGAGUAAGAGCAUACGGGGCCGGACCCGAAAGAAGGUGAACUAUGCCUGCGUAGGGUGAAGCCAGAGGAAACUCUGGUGGAGGCUCGCAGCGGUUCUGACGUGCAAAUCGAUCGUCAAACGUGGGCAUGGGGGCGAAAGACUAAU